This 29-nucleotide non-coding RNA is filed under the name Mus musculus (house mouse). Lineage: Eukaryota; Metazoa; Chordata; Mammalia; Rodentia; Muridae. RNAcentral also lists the same sequence under 1 other name. The record is from RNAcentral.
UAUUGAAACAAUGGUUCCAAGGAAAUGGU